This 599-nucleotide small RNA is filed under the name Mycena sp. 8011602. RNAcentral's name for it is "eukaryotic LSU rRNA". It matches the Rfam family "Eukaryotic large subunit ribosomal RNA", at positions 72 to 651 of the family's 3401-position model. The record is from RNAcentral. Lineage: Eukaryota; Fungi; Basidiomycota; Agaricomycetes; Agaricales; Mycenaceae.
GGAUUCCCCUAGUAACUGCGAGUGAAGCGGGAAAAGCUCAAAUUUAAAAUCUGGCGGUCCCUGUGGCCGUCCGAGUUGUAAUUUAGAGAAGCGUUAUCCGCGCUGGACCGUGUACAAGUCUCCUGGAAUGGAGCGUCAUAGAGGGUGAGAAUCCCGUCUUUGACACGGACUGCCAGGGCAUUGUGAUGCGCUCUCGAAGAGUCGAGUUGUUUGGGAAUGCAGCUCAAAAUGGGUGGUAAAUUCCAUCUAAAGCUAAAUAUUGGGGAGAGACCGAUAGCGAACAAGUACCGUGAGGGAAAGAUGAAAAGAACUUUGGAAAGAGAGUUAAACAGUACGUGAAAUUGCUGAAAGGGAAACGCUUGAAGUCAGUCGCGUCGUUCAGGACUCAGCCUUGCUUUUGCUUGGUGUACUUCCUGUUCGAUGGGUCAGCAUCAAUUUUGGUCGGUGGAAAAAGGCUUAGAGAAUGUGGCAUCUUCGGGUGUGUUAUAGCUCUGGGUCGCAUACAUCGGCUGGGAUUGAGGAACUCAGCACGCCGCAAGGCCGGGUACUUGUACCACGUACGUGCUUAGGAUGCUGGCAUAAUGGCUUUAAUCGACCCG